This 497-nucleotide ribosomal RNA is filed under the name uncultured bacterium. Its description in RNAcentral is "partial 16S ribosomal RNA". It matches the Rfam family "Bacterial small subunit ribosomal RNA", at positions 28 to 507 of the family's 1533-position model. The record is from RNAcentral.
GAUGAACGCUGGCGGCGUGCCUAAUACAUGCAAGUCGAGCGAACGGACGAGAAGCUUGCUUCUCUGAUGUUAGCGGCGGACGGGUGAGUAACACGUGGAUAACCUACCUAUAAGACUGGGAUAACUUCGGGAAACCGGAGCUAAUACCGGAUAAUAUUUUGAACCGCAUGGUUCAAAAGUGAAAGACGGUCUUGCUGUCACUUAUAGAUGGAUCCGCGCUGCAUUAGCUAGUUGGUAAGGUAACGGCUUACCAAGGCAACGAUGCAUAGCCGACCUGAGAGGGGGGUAGGCCACAUUGGAAAUGGGACACGGGCCAGACUACUAAGGGAGGCAGCAGUAGGGAACCGUACGCAAUGGGCGGAAGCCUGACGGAGCAACGCCGCGUGAGUGAUGAAGGCCCUCGGAUCGGAAAACCCUGUUAUUAGGGAAAAACAUAUUUGGAAGGAAACGUGGCCAUAUUGACGGUAACUAAUAAGAAAGCCACGGCUAACUACGUG